Molecule: ribosomal RNA, 105 nt
Filed under: Escherichia coli
Lineage: Bacteria; Pseudomonadati; Pseudomonadota; Gammaproteobacteria; Enterobacterales; Enterobacteriaceae
Also listed under: 2 other names
Description: partial 16S ribosomal RNA
Rfam family: Bacterial small subunit ribosomal RNA
Source: RNAcentral
UUAAAUUGAAGAGUUUGAUCAUGGCUCAGAUUGAACGCUGGCGGCAGGCCUAACACAUGCAAGUCGAACGGUAACAGGAAACAGCUUGCUGUUUCGCUGACGAGU